Molecule: long non-coding RNA, 156 nt
Organism: Telopea speciosissima
Lineage: Eukaryota; Viridiplantae; Streptophyta; Magnoliopsida; Proteales; Proteaceae
Exons: 3
Source: RefSeq, a predicted model, not a curated record
UUUGAAGUGGGCAUUUAGAAGAUACACACAUACACAGACAGCAUAUAUAUCAUAUCCAGAGAGCACCAACAUCUCUGAGUAAAGGCACCAGUUGUCCACUGAGAUGAAGCGCAGUCAGACUCUCUAAUCCUCCCAACCUCGUACCUCCUAUGAACA